AUUGAACGCUGGCGGCAUGCCUUACACAUGCAAGUCGAACGGUAACAGGUCUUCGGAUGCUGACGAGUGGCGAACGGGUGAGUAAUACAUCGGAACGUGCCUAGUAGUGGGGGAUAACUACUCGAAAGAGUGGCUAAUACCGCAUGAGAUCUACGGAUGAAAGCAGGGGAUCGCAAGACCUUGUGCUACUAGAGCGGCCGAUGGCAGGUUAGGUAGUUGGUGGGAUAAAAGCUUACCAAGCCGACGAUCCGUAGCUGGUCUGAGAGGACGAUCAGCCACACUGGGACUGAGACACGGCCCAGACUCCUACGGGAGGCAGCAGUGGGGAAUUUUGGACAAUGGGCGAAAGCCUGAUCCAGCAAUGCCGCGUGCAGGAUGAAGGCCUUCGGGUUGUAAACUGCUUUUGUACGGAACGAAAAGCCCCGGGUUAAUACCCUGGGGUCAUGGCGGUACCGUAAGAAUAAGCACCGGCUAACUACGUGCCAGCCGCCGCCGUAA
RNAcentral lists this ribosomal RNA (498 nucleotides) under uncultured bacterium. Its description in RNAcentral is "partial 16S ribosomal RNA". It matches the Rfam family "Bacterial small subunit ribosomal RNA", at positions 30 to 523 of the family's 1533-position model. The record is from RNAcentral.